Molecule: ribosomal RNA, 443 nt
Filed under: Terebra babylonia
Lineage: Eukaryota; Metazoa; Mollusca; Gastropoda; Neogastropoda; Terebridae
Description: partial 16S ribosomal RNA
Rfam family: Bacterial large subunit ribosomal RNA
Source: RNAcentral
CUUUUUANCGGCCGCGGNACUCUGACCGUGCNNCCNUNNCNUAAUCAUUUGCCUUAUAAUUGAAGGCUGGUAUGAAUGGNUUGACAAGAAUACCCCUGUCUCUUUGUGGUUUGGUAGAAUUUUAUUUUUACGUGAAAAAGCCUUGAUUUGAUUAAUACACAAGAAGACCCUAUCGAGCUUUAAAGGAUUUANNGGGUGGAGACUUAAUUGGUGGAAAAAGGAAUCUGCUCAAUAUUUUGGUUGGGGCGACUGANGAACAUGUAAAGCUUCCUUUACAUCCGCAUUGAUCCAUGAUUAAAGAAAUUANUUACCGCAGGGAUAACAGCAUUAUCUUUUUUGAGAGUUCUUAUCGAAAAAAGGGUUUGUGACCUCGAUGUUGGACCAGAAUGUCCUAAAGAUGCAGAAGUCUUUAAGGGUUGGUCUGUUCNACCAUUAAAAUUCUA